Molecule: long non-coding RNA, 4980 nt
Organism: Pezoporus occidentalis (night parrot)
Lineage: Eukaryota; Metazoa; Chordata; Aves; Psittaciformes; Psittacidae
Exons: 2
Source: RefSeq, a predicted model, not a curated record
CCUGGGGACCAGCUCUCGUCCUGGCACCAGAGUUGCAGGGCAGGAGGGAAGCCCCUUGUGAAUUAGACACCCCCCUAUGCAGAAGAGCCCGCUGGCACUGCAGGUGCAGGGUGCUGCUUUCUGCCUCCCCAUGCAGCUGCUGCAAGCGGCCAAGCUUGGCUGCAGAGGUGCUGCCUCCUUGUUGAGCGAUUACAUACAGGAGGCUUGCAUCCAGCCAUUCAGGAAAUAAAUCACCCACUGUUUGUGAAGUAGGAGGGAAGCACUUGGGACAGUGAAAGAUUAGACUGUAAGCCUCACAAAACUCCCCUUCUGGCUGUAAAGAUGGGCUGCGGAUGUUGUAUUUUUUAGCUCUUUAAAUGAUUAUUUCUGUGCCAGACUUAUUAGGCAAGGUAUUGUUGGGAUCUUGGCAAGGAGAUAAACAUGGCUGCAGGCUUCGCAGUUGUUCCUGUCCGCAUCUGGUCACUGUCAGGCCUUCAGCUAAUAGGCUGAGGACUGUGUGCUACUGUAAACAGCCUCUGCAGCUGCUAGGGGCUAAAUGUAACUAUAUAUUGCUCCAAAUACAAACAUUUCCACAUUAGGUAUUGCGUAUCCUCCCCCAGCACAGAGCUGCAGCCAUUGACCUCGGGAGCCUGCACCGCAUCAGCUUGCCCUGGCUUCUCCUUGGCCAGCAAAUCCUGUCUCUUUUUAUGGCUGUGGCUCUUGAAAGUGAGAGCAACAACCCCAGCUCAGGUCAAGCUGAAUGUGGCCAAGCAUUGUGCAACCUCCCGCAGAUGGUCUCAGUGCUGAAUGGCCAGUAGCCAUGGGGUGGCAGAGGCUGGAGUCUGGCACGGAAGGACUUGAUGGGAACAGGGGCUCAUAAACAAGGUGGGGGGCGGGAAUGGGUGGUCCCAGGCAGCAGGGAGCUGCAGAGGGAAGGGCUUUGGAUAAAGGCACAGAUAGCCCCAAGAUAUCCUAGGACUUUAUAAUAAACAUCUUUGGCUGGGACAGGCCAAGCCCUGCUGAGAGGCAGUCAAGGGCUGGGAGCUGCUCUUGGCUGUUGCCAAGGACUUCAGGCAAGUUGUUUUGCAUGAAAACAUGAAGCCCCAUGCAGGUGUCCAAGUACAGUGCCCAGAUUCCCUAAGCAGUGUGCUUGUCCCCUCUUCUUGCUCCCCUGCUUUGUGCUUCUGCCUGCUGGGAGCAAUUUGGAAAAGACUGCUUUCAACAAGGUGUUUUCUAAACCUGUCUCAAGAGAAAGACGAUUGUAUCUCAUUAGCUGGAGUCCUAGGUCACCCCUAUGAUAAAAUCAGCUUCCAUCCAGUACAUGCAGGAGUGCUGCCUCAUGCCUGAGUGGAGUCCAUGAGUGUGCGUGGGGGGUUGUUGUAGCUGUUUUCUGGUCUGGCCUGCUCCCAAAGCACUGCAGAGGUCUGUCCUUCAGUGCCUGCUCAGGUUAACUGGGUAGAGAACAAGGCUCAGAAGGGCUUUUCCCCAGUACAGUAGCUCAGAAUCUAAAACCAAUCUCUGCAGUAGAGACCCAGCAUCCAAUUCAGCAGGUGUGUCCCAGGCAGCAGCCCCUGGUUUGGAAAUUCAGUGUGCCGUGCUGACCAGGCCCUGCUUAAAUACAUUCUGAUUAAUGCAGUGUUAGCCUGUUUACAUCAGCAAUCCAGCCCGCUUGUCCAUUGCGCAGCACCACUCAGUGUUGCAGGAAAGAAAGACGCCUUUUGCUGUUUGGCUGACUCCAGGCUGGAUCAGCUGGCCAGGUGCACAGCCAAUUUCCAUUGCUGCUUUGAAACUGGGAAGUAUUUUGAAAAGAAUAGAGCCUUUAGCCUUAAAAGAGCUGCAGAAGGAAAAGGCAAGCACUGGCAUACUUGUAAGUGGGACAGAGCGAGAUUCCCCAUGGACUAGACAUUUCUGAGAUUGCUUUUAGAGGUACGGUCAGUAUUGCUGCAGUGAGCCGAGGUGGUAGUAAAUACCCAAUGUAACUAUAGCUGUUACCAUUUCCCAAGGGUAUGGUAUCAGCAGAAUACCGUAUAUAAACAAAUGCAAAGCACUAUUGGCUUUGCUCUGCACUGUUGUUUAAUAAUGCUUUGUGCUUCAUAGAGCGUCAGAGUGUUUUAUAGACGCUAAUGAAAUUAGCCUCAUGAUGCUCUUCUCAGGUAUUAUUAGCCCUUUCGCUGGGCUGAGUGUGUGUGUGCUCCCAGAUGCAUGGGACGUGUGUGCCUGUGCUUCCCAGCAGGAGACACCCCGGGGGGACAGGACCUCCUGCAGCCCUUGGUCUGCUCCACCACUGCUUCCCUGUCUGCUUUCUGCUGCCUGGCACCCAGGGUGGGUACAGAAGGGGGUGUUGGGACCAUGCUGCUGUGUCACCCCCUGCAAGGCCCAGGCUUUCUCCUGGGUCAGAGCAAUCUUCCACUGCUCCAGGUCUGAUGAGCAGAGGCAGAAAACCCAGAUCCUCUUCUCAGGUCACUCAGGGUGUCUCUGCUGCACUACAGGACCUUACGUCAGCUUGCAGUGGUUCAGCUCCAGGACUUUUCCCUACACAGCCAGUGAAUCCAAAUAGCAGCCUCGAUAGUGGGGAUGCUGGAGCAGAUCUCUCUCACUUGCAUCGUGCAUGUUUAUGGCUUCUUUAUGUUAAAGGUGGGAUGUUUGCUGCCACCCCUUCUCAUGAACAGUAGCCACGGUUUUGUCACAAACAUCAGUGCUGGCCCUGGGGUUAUUACUGGAGCUUUGCUUUAAAUAGAUCCUAAGCAAACCUCUCUCUCUGUUUGUCUUGACAUGGUACUGACUGGUGCUUUCCAAGAAACAGGGAAAAGAAAAACUGGAUUCACAGUGGUGACUUUGACUCCAUUUGGCAGAGGCAAACUGAUCUCCUAAAUGGGAAAGGCACAGCCACGAAGAGGAAAAACAAAUGGGUCACCGAGAGAACCAGCCUGUUCUUUCUGACUGACUAGUUGCAAGUGACAAAGUCUCACUGGUACUUGUUUAGAAGAUCCCUCCAUUUUAGGAGUUGCUCUGUCACAAGAACACCAAAGGGCUUUUGGGUACAUGAGAUCUGCGUAUGAAGUUUCAUAAUGGAUUUUAUAAAGUUUGCUGCACUUUACCCCACUUUGCUCAGUAAAUAUUUUGCUUCUAAAUCAUCGUUUGCCUUUCUGGGUCGUGUGGCCUGUGAAGCUGGGAGGCUUGUGCCUGUUGCAGGGGUGAAUUCCUGACAGUGGACUGGGAGGAGGGGUGCUGGGGAACAGAAGGAGAUGUGCCAGGUGUCCCCCUUCAACUCUCUCCAGAGAUGGCUUCAUUUCCCCUGUGGAGUCUGCAGGUUUGUGGUGACCUGGGAGCUCAGAGGAACGGCUGAGACCUUCCUGCAAGCUGGACACUGGCAAGGGCACACACUUUGGAGCUCUCUGGUGGGAGGUCUGGGUUAGGCGCAGCUCAGAGUUGUACCAGGGAGGUCUGACCUCACACUGGCCAGGGGACCCAUCGUGCAUCCUGGGGGAAGAAACUCCUGGGAGCCCCUCAGAGCCUUUCCUGUCCUCUGCUUUGCUGUGUUACUGUGUCCUGGCUGGAGGCUCAGACAGCAGAAGCUAGGAAACCACUCUGCCUGAGUGGUACUAAUGCAAGGGUCACUGAAGAUGGUCACAGCGAAUUAAGGUAGAGAAAAAAUGCCAUGCUCAGGCUUCAGCCCUGACGCCAUGCUCAGGCUUGAGUCCCUUUGUUGUGAUACAAAGGGACAAAAAAUUGCACUUUUUAGCAUCAUUUCCAUAAUGUGACUCCUCUGAUUCCUCCUAAAGGCUUGUUGGCUGGCAUCUGCCUGCAGCACUGUCUGUGCUCUGUGUGUCUACGGGGCUCUCUGUCUGGGUGAACUUAACCUGUGUUUGGCUGUUGGGGUACAGCUGCCAGAGAAAGAGGCAAAUCCCAGCGCUCAGUGCUUCAGCACCAGUAAGUCACCAGUGUUUGGCCAGCAGUGAGCUCAAGCUGCAGCAUUUGGGUAGGCCUUUCUGAGCCUCUCCCUCUGACCUGUCAUGGAUGCUUCAAGAUGUGGUCUGGCUCAUCUGGGUAGAAAAGCCCAGCAUGCUCAAACUGGGCUUUUCUACCAACAGGAAGCUGAUUGAGGAGACCUCAUGAACAGCUGUGAUCUGCUCAGGUUUAGAUCUGAGGUGGAAAAUCCUGGUGAGCUUUACUGCUGCUGGCUGCAGACAAGCUGGGAGAGGCAAUCGCACAUGAAGAUGCAGUGAGGGCUCCAGGUGAUGCUUCCCUUUUCCUCAGCCAGAGACCUGAAUUGGCUCUCUAUACCUUUGUGAAGUGGCCACCCUGCCUCUUCCACAUAUAAAUUCAUGGACUUUGCUAAGGAAGAGGUGGAAAUCUGGUCUUUGGGAGAACACUGUGCUUUGGAGGUAAUUAUUUUAAUGAUGGGCAGAGCCAAGCUCCAUAUUGCAACACUGGAUGUACUUGAAGGCUUCAUGAGGUCUAGGUCCAAAUUUUGUGACUGUCUUAAUGACUGCCUGGACCAUGUGCUCCUGAAAUUCAAGCUGUGCACCUCCUAAAGCUCCACUUCUGGAGAGACGCUGCCAACAGCAUUCCCUAUACACAGCACAUUGGGUGGGCUUCUCAUUGAGUGUGUGUGUGCAUGUGGGUGGUGGUGCAAAAUGCAGUUUAUUUUAUGGCUAUGUUCACACAUCUCAUUAGGCAUACAAGAAUUGCCAGGGAGAGGUCAGGCCAGGUUCUGUUGUCCAUGCCAGGCAGUGAGCGUGAGCCCCCCAGACAGGCUCUGCCAUACAGCAGGCCCUCCCUGCUGCUAAUUACGGCUUGGUUUAAGCUGUGAAACUUGAGUUUGAGGGCCACUUCUACAAACUCUCUGUUAUCAUGAUGUAUAGCAUUGGCAGCAAUAGGCAGUCUUGAUGGAUAGACAGAAAUCUCCCAUCCUCAUCUGAGCUGACCACUGGCCUUUUCUAACGCUGCUUAGAGCUUGGUCUUUUUAUCAUAUGAACGAUAAGUGCUCUCACUCUGGUA